CAGACAGAGAAGAACGGGGGCGGUCGGCUGGGACCGGGAUCUUCAUUGAAUUGUGGAUACGAUGGAAAGGGAUUCACUUUCAAAAGCUGACAGCAUAAUUAGAUCCGGGUUUGGAGCGUAGGAUGUCCGCGUUGAAGUUGAAACAGUCAGACAAAAUAAAAGAAACUUUGAGUAAUAAGAAGUUUUACAAAUCAGAUUAAGGUAAAAAUAGAAUCAGCCUAAUGCAGAGUAAUCCAAUGUUCUUGUUAGAAUUUCCGUCAUGCUGCCUCUUGUUACCCUAACCCUCUAUGUCCAGAGGACACCGACAAAUGCACAAACUGGCUUAAAGUCAACAAAAUAGACACUUUUGGUGGAGAUAAAGAGCUCUCAAAGAAACAAUGAGCUGCCGACAUUUGGAAAUCAAUCAAAGACUUACACAGCUCCAGGGCAGCCACAACAAAUAUCGUCAUUUCAACAAUGGAAACCUACGAAAGACGACGAACCGAGGUCAAUGGAAGACAAGUCAGUCUAAGUUUCUUGAGCGCUCUAUCAGUCAUCCGACAACUUGGAAUCACGAUCAUCACCCCUGAGCGAGUGCCGAGCAUCGGCAGCAAUGAAUCACACAGCUGAUUUGUCACCGUCACGUCUCCGUGCGAGCGGCCCGGUUGUUUAUCAGGCAGAGAAAAGGAGCAGGAUGUGAUGUCGUUAGGAAGCUGUCAGCUCCAUCUGAAUCCCAUUAGCCAGUCUCUGCGUCUUUACACUUCCUCUCUUAAAGAGUUAUUCUUUUAUUGACUGGAUAUGAUCGUUACAGAUGGGCGAAUCGAUCCAAAAUAUUGGUAAUUUCGAUACCAAGCUGAUAUCAGCAUCGGACCGUUAUUAAAGUGAUACGAUCGAUGCUUUAGUUUCAGAUUCCCUCUUGAAAUGCUAUUUUCUUUUCGUAUUGUGGCUUCUCAGUGCUACCUCAAAAGUAGUACCUUAUUUAGGAAAAAAUGUGCACAAAAUUGUUUGCUAUUUCAAUCGUUUAUCAUGUUAGUGUGCAAUGACAUUGUUUUGUAGACACCUAUGAACUUUGUCCAAAUUCUGCUCGAGGUUUAAAUAAAAACAAAAAUCGGAAAAACACCUAUAAUUAAAAAAUUUGAUGAUAUAUUAAACUAAAAUAAUAAAAAAUAUCAUCAGAAUCGAAUUGAUACUAGUGUGGUAAGAUCAAUGCUUUAAGUUCAGAUUCCCUCUUGAAAUUUUAUUUUAGUAUUGUAAGUUUCCCCAACUCAAUGGAAAUAAAAAUUUGUUUUGAUUUUUGCAU
This is a non-coding RNA of Poecilia reticulata (guppy), 1279 nucleotides long. The record is from RefSeq and is a predicted model, not a curated record. Lineage: Eukaryota; Metazoa; Chordata; Actinopteri; Cyprinodontiformes; Poeciliidae.